RNAcentral lists this ribosomal RNA (595 nucleotides) under Kocuria rhizophila. Its description in RNAcentral is "bacterial SSU rRNA". It matches the Rfam family "Bacterial small subunit ribosomal RNA", at positions 227 to 834 of the family's 1533-position model. The record is from RNAcentral. Lineage: Bacteria; Bacillati; Actinomycetota; Actinomycetes; Micrococcales; Micrococcaceae.
GGGCUCACGGCCUAUCAGCUUGUUGGUGGGGUAAUGGCUCACCAAGGCGACGACGGGUAGCCGGCCUGAGAGGGUGACCGGCCACACUGGGACUGAGACACGGCCCAGACUCCUACGGGAGGCAGCAGUGGGGAAUAUUGCACAAUGGGCGGAAGCCUGAUGCAGCGACGCCGCGUGAGGGAUGACGGCCUUCGGGUUGUAAACCUCUUUCAGCACGAAAGAAGCGAGAGUGACGGUACGUGCAGAAGAAGCGCCGGCUAACUACGUGCCAGCAGCCGCGGUAAUACGUAGGGCGCAAGCGUUGUCCGGAAUUAUUGGGCGUAAAGAGCUCGUAGGCGGUUUGUCGCGUCUGCUGUGAAAGCCCGGGGCUUAACCCCGGGUGUGCAGUGGGUACGGGCAGACUUGAGUGCAGUAGGGGAGACUGGAAUUCCUGGUGUAGCGGUGAAAUGCGCAGAUAUCAGGAGGAACACCGAUGGCGAAGGCAGGUCUCUGGGCUGUUACUGACGCUGAGGAGCGAAAGCAUGGGGAGCGAACAGGAUUAGAUACCCUGGUAGUCCAUGCCGUAAACGUUGGGCACUAGGUGUGGGGAACAUUC